GGGGAAUAUUGCACAAUGGGCGCAAGCCUGAUGCAGCCAUGCCGCGUGUGUGAAGAAGGCCUUCGGGUUGUAAAGCACUUUCAGCGAGGAGGAAGGGUAGUGUGUUAAUAGCACAUUGCAUUGACGUUACUCGCAGAAGAAGCACCGGCUAACUCCGCGCCAGCAGCCGCGGUAAUACGGAGGGUGCAAGCGUUAAUCGGAAUUACUGGGCGUAAAAGCGCACGCAGGCGGUUUGUUAAGUCAGAUGUGAAAUCCCCGCGCUUAACGUGGGAACUGCAUUUGAAACUGGCAAGCUAGAGUCUUGUAGAGGGGGGUAGAAUUCCAGGUGUAGCGGUGAAAAUGCGUAGAGAUCUGGAGGAAUACCGGUGGCGAAGGCGGCCCCCCUGGACAAAAGACUGACGCUCAGGUGCGAAAAGCGUGGGGAGCAAAAACAGGAUUAGAUACCCUGGUAGUCCACGCUGUAAAACGAUGUCGACUUGGAGGUUGUGCCCUUGAGGCGUGGCUUCCGGAGCUAACGCGUUAAGUCGACCGCCUGGGGGAGUACGGCCGCAAGGUUAAAA
RNAcentral lists this ribosomal RNA (560 nucleotides) under uncultured bacterium. RNAcentral describes it as "partial 16S ribosomal RNA". It matches the Rfam family "Bacterial small subunit ribosomal RNA", at positions 356 to 899 of the family's 1533-position model. The record is from RNAcentral.